This 261-nucleotide long non-coding RNA is filed under the name Mytilus galloprovincialis (Mediterranean mussel). The record is from RNAcentral. Lineage: Eukaryota; Metazoa; Mollusca; Bivalvia; Mytilida; Mytilidae.
GAGUUCCAAAUGGUGAAGUUGAAAUCAUCCCUUCGUAAAUUUUACGGACGCCAUCACGAGUUGGUUGACCGUUAUGGAAUAACCGUUUCACAAAUGAUAUCGGAUAUAUUCCUUACGUCGUAACUACAAUCCCCUUCCCUUUCAUGAAUGUGACCUACCGAAUUAGACUAUUUACCGGAUUUGUUAUCACAUAAGCAACACGACGGGUGCCGCAUGUGGAGCAGGAUCUGCUUACCCUUCCGGAGCACCUGAGAUCACCCC